This 465-nucleotide ribosomal RNA is filed under the name uncultured bacterium. RNAcentral describes it as "partial 16S ribosomal RNA". It matches the Rfam family "Bacterial small subunit ribosomal RNA", at positions 338 to 795 of the family's 1533-position model. The record is from RNAcentral.
CCUACGGGAGGCAGCAGUGGGGAAUAUUGCGCAAUGGGCGAAAGCCUGACGCAGCGACGCCGCGUGAGGGAUGAAGGUCUUCGGAUCGUAAACCUCUGUCAGCAGGGAAGAACGGUCACUGUGCUAAUCAGCAGUGAAUUGACGGUACCUGAAAAGGAAGCACCGGCUAACUCCGUGGCAGCAGCCGAGGUAAUACGGAGGGUGCGAGGGUUAAUCGGAAUUACUGGGCGUAAAGCGAUCGUAGGCGGUAUGUUAAAUCAAGGGUGAAAUCCCCGGGCUCAACGUUGGAACUGCGUUUGAAACUGGCAGACUAGAGUGUGUGAGAAGGUAGUGGAAUUCCAGGUGUAGGAGUGAAAUCCGUAGAUAUCUGGAGGAACAUCAGUGGCGAAGGCGACUAUCUGGCACAUAACUGACGCUGAGGAACGAAAGCGUGGGUAGCAAACAGGAUUAGAUACCCUUGUAGUC